This 429-nucleotide ribosomal RNA is filed under the name Gemmatimonadota bacterium. Its description in RNAcentral is "Gemmatimonadetes bacterium partial 16S ribosomal RNA". It matches the Rfam family "Bacterial small subunit ribosomal RNA", at positions 355 to 776 of the family's 1533-position model. Lineage: Bacteria; Pseudomonadati; Gemmatimonadota. The record is from RNAcentral.
UAGGGAAUCUUCGGCAAUGGACGAAAGUCUGACCGAGCAACGCCGCGUGAGUGAAGAAGGUUUUCGGAUCGUAAAACUCUGUUGUUAGAGAAGAACAAGGACGUUAGUAACUGAACGUCCCCUGACGGUAUCUAACCAGAAAGCCACGGCUAACUACGUGCCAGCAGCCGCGGCAAUACGUAGGUGGCAAGCGUUGUCCGGAUUUAUUGGGCGUAAAGCGAGCGCAGGCGGUUUCUUAAGUCUGAUGUGAAAGCCCCCGGCUCAACCGGGGAGGGUCAUUGGAAACUGGGAGACUUGAGUGCAGAAGAGGAGAGUGGAAUUCCAUGUGUAGCGGUAAACUGCGAAGAUAUAUGGAGGAACACCAGUGGCGAAGGCGGCUCUCUGGUCUGUAACUGACGCUGGGGCUCGAAAGCGUGGGGAGCAAACAGG